RNAcentral lists this non-coding RNA (199 nucleotides) under Paracoccus aminovorans. The record is from RNAcentral. Lineage: Bacteria; Pseudomonadati; Pseudomonadota; Alphaproteobacteria; Rhodobacterales; Paracoccaceae.
AAUUUGCCGUGUGAUUCAGGUGCCGGGGGAGCCCCCGGAUAAAAGGGAAUCCGGUAAGACAGUCGUCAAAUCCGGAGCUGCCCCCGCAACUGUAGGCGGAGAGCCUGUCCGAAUGCCACUGGCGCGUAUCGCGCGCUGGGAAGGCCGGACCAGGCGAAGACCCGCAAGUCAGGAAACCUGCCUGGAUCGAUCACCUGUU